This 324-nucleotide long non-coding RNA is filed under the name Anser brachyrhynchus (Pink-footed goose). RNAcentral describes it as "lncRNA (ENSABRG00000004021.1)". The record is from RNAcentral. Lineage: Eukaryota; Metazoa; Chordata; Aves; Anseriformes; Anatidae.
UUGUUUUAUGAAAAUCAUACCAGAACUUGAUGAAAAGAGAAUUUUCCUGGAAAGUGUUUGUGUUUGGAGAGAAAGGGAAGUGAAACUCUGUCAGAUCAAAUGGCUUGUGCUUUUUUUAUUGUUGUCUGGGGAGGCAAUCAAAAAAAUCUAGAGACCGAGGCAGAAAAAAAGCAACGUGGAAUACUUUAAUGUUAUGCUUGUGUAGAAAGUGCUAACCUAUGCCAACAGUAUGUAUUUAAAUGUAUUUUUUGCAUGUUUGUCUUUCCUAAAAUGCACUUAACCUUGUUUUCCUGCUACUUGUUUUUUCCAUUUCCCUAAUUUCUG